Macaca mulatta (Rhesus monkey) is the source of this 3168-nucleotide long non-coding RNA. NCBI's taxonomy places the organism in Eukaryota, Metazoa, Chordata, Mammalia, Primates, Cercopithecidae. The record is from Ensembl.
CCCCGGCAUAUCAAGUAGACGAAAAAGUUGAUUUGGAGUUAUACAAAAUAUAGAAAUCAUUGGAUAAAUAGGAAACUUCAUUUUAAUUUGAGAUGUUAAAAUAUUUGGAAGAUUUUCAAAAUUAUUUAUAUGAAGAUAAGAUUCUGAAUGAAGAAUAUACAUGGUGGAACAUUUUGGCACUGGGAAACAUGACAAAGACAAAUUAUUGUGAUAGAAUGAAGGCACAAGGUCAUGUACACAUAUUAUGUGUUUGCAGAACAUCAUUUAUUCUAGAAACAUUAGAGAAGGCAAAGUUGGAGGUAAGUAUAGGGGUCUGCAUCCUGUGGGUAAGCAAGGGAGGAGCUCCAAAUGCCCAUCAAUCAUACACAGAUGUUAUAUUGGAACAUAUAGGUAUAUAAGGGAAAAAUAUUCCACUUACAGUUUAGUCCAACAACAGCUAGAGUGGCUAACACCUCCUCAUUUCUUCCAUCAAAAUCUUAUCUUUCCAAAAAUUUAUAUCUUCUAGUAAGUAUAUUCACUUUAUAACCCAUCCCUUGCCUGUUAUUUGCUCCCACCUAAAUAAAGGGUUGCGGGGAGCUCCAAGUACAAAUGGUCCCGAACUUACAAUGGUUUGACUUAAGAAUAUUUCAACUUUACAGUGGUGUGAAAGUAUUAUGCAUUUGGUAGAAAUCAUACUUCAAAUUUUGAAUUUUGGUAUUUUACCAUGCUAGCGAUAUGUGGUAGGGAAACUCUCUUAAGAUGACAGGCAGUAGCAGUGAGUUGCAGCUCCUAGUCAGCUAUGUGACAACAAGGGUAGACAACCAAUACUCUGUAGUGUACUGUUACCUGUGGUUUUGGGAUAUUGUGUUUUGUGUUAUCUCAUUGCAUCAUGUCUACAAAACACCCAUCUGUGUACAGUACUCAACACCUUAUUAUAAAAUAGUACUUGUGUUAGAUGAUUUUUGUCUAGCUGUAAGCUAAUAUAACUGUUUUGGGCACGUUUAAGGCAGGGUAGGCUAAGCUACAUUGUUUGGUAGGUUAGGUGUAUUAAAUGAAUUUUCGACUAAUGAUAUUUUCAGCUUACAAUGGUUAUAUAAUUCCAUUGUAAGUCGAGGAGCACCUGUAGUUUGAAUUCUUUCCUGUCCUGUAAUAAUAGUAUGCCAUUUCUGAUUGAAUACAAAUACAUGCCAAUAGCUUCUACAGAUUACAAAUUUGUGCAUCUCAUUCGCUUAUCAAAUAACCCUAAACAUUUGUGCAUAUCAUUAGCUUAUCAAAUAUCAAUAUUAAACAUUUAUAUGCCUGUAAAUGAAGCAAGUAUUCAAGAAUUCCUGAGCUGAACAGUUUAAAUUUCCUCAAAUCUUCUCUGUACUGUGAUUUGGGGAUAGAGAUGUGAGUGGGUAAUGAACUGAAAAGGAACAGUGCAGAAAACGUUAAAAUUCACAAUUUUGUAUAAUGUCUACCUCAUUGGAACAAAUCUAAUGUUUGAUUUUAUGUAUUAAAGAUGCUUCAGUAAUCGACUAAAUUUUAUGGAGUUUUUGUCUGGAGAUUUUGGCAAUGAUGUACCUUGUACAUAGUAUGUUAAUCAAUAUUUUUGGAUUGAAUAAAAGAAGGAAUAAAAUGGAUUCAACUUGCACAUUGGUUGUUGAACUGACAAAUAAGAAAUUUUUAAAGUUUGUUCCUCUAUAGGCAUUUAAACUGGGAUUGAUUAUUUACUAAGCUUAGGUGACUUAGUGAUGGGAAUUGACUAAAGGUAGGAAAAUGGCCAGAUGAGUGCCUGUCAUUCCUUCUGGUCCCAUGAUUCCAAACAGAAUGGAUGAAACUGUAAUAUUCAGUUAUAGUUUAGGAGUUUCAUUUGAAUGUUUUCCCUAAGGAAAUCUGACAAUUUUUAUUCUACCAUCUUCCUUAAAUGUAAUAAAUGUGUAAUGUGACUUCUUUUUCAAAAAAUUCCUUUUAUGCUAGUGGAUUGUUCAACCUGCUCACACAAUGACGUUUCUGGGAUAUUUUCCAAUCUUUUCUUCCUCUUAAAAUAGACCUCAUGUUCCAUCUUGGAAGGCGUUACAUUUACUUGUUAUUUGGUAUCUGAACUAUGUAUUUUGAAUGCUCCUGAAAAGCAGUUAUCUAAAAGACAUAUAGUUGUCCUCCAGAUUUUUCCUGGCUUCAAUUCUACAUAAGCUUGCAAUUUUGUGUUUGUAAUGUUAUCAGUUACCAUGUGUAAAGAAAUAUGACUUAUUGUUGGAACAAAAGAAAGGAUAGACAAGAUAUAGUUAGUAAAUAUCCUUCAGAGAAAAUUCCCAAGGAAAUUUCAGGACAUCUCUUCUCUUUCACAUAAAAUUCUUAAAGGUAGGAAUUUAAAGCAGAAAAAUUAGAUAGUCCUUGGGGCUUCAAAGUAAAUGAAGAUCGAUAGAUUUCAUAGAUAAAGAAAAAUGCAAAAGUAUUGCUAUUGUACUAUCAAGUGAUAAGUUAAAUAGCUGUCAAAGCCGCUAGUAAAAAAGAUACAAAUCAUAUAGACCUUCAUUAUAAAAAUAUUACACCUGGGAGGCAGAGCUUGCAGUGAGCCGAGAUCACGCCACUGCACUCCAGCCUGGACGACAGAGUGAGACUCUGUCUCAAAAAAAAAAAAAAAAUUAUAUCUGUAAAAUAUAUGUAUCCAUAAAGUGCAACACUCAAAGUGAAUAUAAAUUCGAUGUAAGGAAGGAAUAUCUUCUUUUUUUGCAAGAGAAAAAUCAAGUAUGGUCUGUACAUGAAAAUAAAAAAUGAGUUUCUUUAGAUUCUCCACGAUAAAAACAAAUAAUUUUUCCAAAGGGAAUAGACAUCUUGUCAGUCUGCAGGUGUUUCUCAAAAUGAAGUUUAAGGAUCACCUGCGUUAAUGUUACCUGGAAUGCUGGUGAACAUGCAUAUUCCUUGGUUCCACCUCAGACCUAAAGAAUCACAUGUUCCAGGGUGAAGGUGCCCAAACUUGAAUUAUUAACAUGGCUUUGAGGUGAUUCUGAUGAACAUUAAAGUAUGGAAACCUGGUGCAGCUUGUCGAAUUUCAGAUCACCCAGAAAACAAAGAAAUACAAAAUCCCAUUGGAAGUCCAAAACCUAUUUUCUUCAAAUAGAAGCAUUUGUAUCAAAUUGCUUUCUCAUUAUCAGUUUACCAAUAACAGUAAAAACAUAAAGGUAACAUGUUGAUAAGAAUAUUUAAAAG